GGUUUUCCCGGAGGCUGGAGUUUCUUGGCCGUGACUGCUUGUUUUCGGCUCUGUGGUUCUCCACRUUCUCGGGCAGGAGCACAGCCCGGGCGUCUGAGCGUGCUGAGAGCUGCAGGCAGUGAGAGAUGACUCCCGCGCUCUUGUUUUCCCAGGAUGGUUAGAGCUCUGGACAUUCGACCACCACGGUCUCAGCAUGACCCAUGGCACAGUGGUGAUGAGACUCCCUGGGGCUUGGGAACUGCUGGCCGUUCGUACAUGUCGGUUCCCCUAAUGGACCUCUGCAAGGGCUCCCCAGCGGAGCCUGGAGAGGAGGGGAGCGAGGAAGACAAAAAAAAAAAAAAAAAAAAAAAAAAAGAAAAAAAAAAAAAAAAAAAGCCACGCAGGGUAUAGCUAGCACUGCCUCGCGCCUGAAACUGCUCAUCGUGGCUUCACGCACUGCAGCUGCCUGGACUUGGGGGUCUGCGCGGCAAAACGCGUAUGUAUGUAUAUAUAUAAAAUUUUUUUUUUAAAGAAUUUAAAAAGAAGGGAAAGGAGAAGGCAGAGCCGCGCUCCCCGCACCAGCGCCC
RNAcentral lists this long non-coding RNA (566 nucleotides) under Dromaius novaehollandiae (emu). Its description in RNAcentral is "lncRNA (ENSDNVG00000006865.1)". The record is from RNAcentral. Lineage: Eukaryota; Metazoa; Chordata; Aves; Casuariiformes; Dromaiidae.